This 88-nucleotide transfer RNA is filed under the name Muribaculaceae bacterium. RNAcentral describes it as "tRNA-Ser". It matches the Rfam family "tRNA". From Rfam's summary of the family: Transfer RNA (tRNA) molecules are approximately 80 nucleotides in length. Their secondary structure includes four short double-helical elements and three loops (D, anti-codon, and T loops). RNAcentral also lists the same sequence under 1 other name. The record is from RNAcentral. Lineage: Bacteria; Pseudomonadati; Bacteroidota; Bacteroidia; Bacteroidales; Muribaculaceae.
GGAGUGAUGCUCGAGUGGCUGAAGAGGCUGAUCUGGAAAGUCAGUAACCGUCAAAAGCGGUUCGGGAGUUCGAAUCUCCCUCACUCCG